Molecule: ribosomal RNA, 253 nt
Filed under: uncultured bacterium
Lineage: Bacteria
Description: partial 16S ribosomal RNA
Rfam family: Bacterial small subunit ribosomal RNA
Source: RNAcentral
UACAGAGGGGGCAAGCGUUGUUCGGAAUUACUGGGCGUAAAGAGCUCGUAGGCGGUCUGUUGCGUCGGCUGUGAAAACCCGGGGCUCAACCCCGGGCCUGCAGCCGAUACGGGCAGACUAGAGUUCGGCAGGGGAGACUGGAAUUCCUGGUGUAGCGGUGAAAUGCGCAGAUAUCAGGAGGAACACCGGUGGCGAAGGCGGGUCUCUGGGCCGAUACUGACGCUGAGGAGCGAAAGCGUGGGGAGCGAACAGG